CCUACGGGAGGCUGCAGUGGGGAAUAUUGCACAAUGGGCGCAGGCCUGAUGCAGCCAUGCCGCGUGUGUGAAGAAGGCCUUCGGGUUGUAAAGCACUUUCAGCGGGGAGGAAGGCGGUGAGGUUAAUAACCUCAUCGAUUGACGUUACCCGCAGAAGAAGCACCGGCUAACUCCGUGCCAGCAGCCGCGGUAAUACGGAGGGUGCAAGCGUUAAUCGGAAUUACUGGGCGUAAAGCGCACGCAGGCGGUCUGUCAAGUCGGAUGUGAAAUCCCCGGGCUCAACCUGGGAACUGCAUUCGAAACUGGCAGGCUAGAGUCUUGUAGAGGGGGGUAGAAUUCCAGGUGUAGCGGUGAAAUGCGUAGAGAUCUGGAGGAAUACCGGUGGCGAAGGCGGCCCCCUGGACAAAGACUGACGCUCAGGUGCGAAAGCGUGGGGAGCAAACAGGAUUAGAUACCCUUGUAGUC
This 465-nucleotide ribosomal RNA is filed under the name uncultured Klebsiella sp. RNAcentral's name for it is "bacterial SSU rRNA". It matches the Rfam family "Bacterial small subunit ribosomal RNA", at positions 338 to 795 of the family's 1533-position model. Lineage: Bacteria; Pseudomonadati; Pseudomonadota; Gammaproteobacteria; Enterobacterales; Enterobacteriaceae. The record is from RNAcentral.